Molecule: long non-coding RNA, 652 nt
Filed under: Monodelphis domestica (gray short-tailed opossum)
Lineage: Eukaryota; Metazoa; Chordata; Mammalia; Didelphimorphia; Didelphidae
Description: lncRNA (ENSMODG00000030521.2)
Source: RNAcentral
CACAGGAUCUGUGUAAGACCAGAGUGAGGCCAGGAGUCCCAGCCUGAGGUCCUUAAUCCCAGUUUGAGGCAGUUAGUGGGCCACUCCAGGUCAGUAUAAACCCAGCACUAAGCCCCAUAUCCCCACUGAAGCCAGUCCCCAAAGUAUUGACCAGUGGGAGCCCAGACAUAGCUAAACCCUAUCAAAGCUCAAAGCAGACCCCCCGGGGAAGGCAGUCCACGAUGUACCUGACCUGAUCAAGUCCAAAGUGAGACCAAAAGACCCUGCCUAAGCCUGAGAUUAGUCUUUGAGCCAUCAGCAGUCUCCAGGGGGUGACUGAAUCAGCAGUGGAAGGUGACUUUCUAUAAGUCAUCAUCCUACCUUAGAAGAACUGAAAUUUACAGAAAAACAGAAAUAAAGACAGCUACUUUCCGCAACAGAGGACCUGGUUUCAAAUCCUGUUUCUGAUGAUUCCUGCUUACCUGGCUUUAGUGGUUCCAGAAGGGAGCCCUUUUUUUCCUGGAAUGGGACCUCACUCCGCCUGGCUCGGAGGUAAAAACAAGCACACUACUGAGGAUGAAGGACCACGUGACCAACAUUCCGGCCAGCCCUGCUCCUGGGCUCCUUAGAAGUUUCAGAUCUGUUUUUCUUGGUCCCGUGCAAGUCAUCAUUA